GCCCGAAUGGCGGAAUUGGCAGACGCGCUGCGUUCAGGUCGCAGUUCUCGCAAGGGAGUGGAGGUUCGAGUCCUCUUUCGGGCA
Non-coding RNA from Acidobacteria bacterium 13_1_20CM_58_21, 84 nucleotides. The record is from Rfam. NCBI's taxonomy places the organism in Bacteria, Pseudomonadati, Acidobacteriota.